AACAAAGCGGUUUGAUGAGGAUGGAUGUUGCCCAAUAUGUGAAACUCGUAACUGCGCUCCUGUGAAGAACGUUACUCGUCUGAAAGUCAAUAAUUGCACUUCCACUGAAGAUGUCGAAAUUACAUCCUGCGCUGGUCACUGCGACUCCAAAUCAAUGUAUUCCAUGUGGACCAAUAGAAACACGACAAACAGCUGUUCCUGCUGCCAAGCGGAAAACACCAGCCCUCGAGAGGUGACACUGGUGUGUGAAGGUGACCUGCAGAUCUCUCAGAUCUACACGUACAUAGAGACGUGCACAUGCACUCCUGUCAUGUGUGAAGACUAUAAAAACGUAAGACCAGAAGAUUAGGAUUGAAACGGUCCUGAUCUGAGCAUUACGCCAUCUGAUGCAACAAAUAAGCACAGGUUUUAAAAUAUACACCUGAAAAUGUCAAUGAUUGCUGUAUUAAUGUGCAGUAAUGGCUACUUUGCCAAAUAUUGCACCAUUAUUUUUGUUCCUUGUGAUUUAAUCUGGGGCAUUCUUUUUAAUGCAUGAUAUAAUA
Molecule: non-coding RNA, 542 nt
Organism: Danio rerio (zebrafish)
Lineage: Eukaryota; Metazoa; Chordata; Actinopteri; Cypriniformes; Danionidae
Source: RefSeq, a predicted model, not a curated record